This 234-nucleotide ribosomal RNA is filed under the name uncultured Staphylococcus sp. Its description in RNAcentral is "partial 16S ribosomal RNA". It matches the Rfam family "Bacterial small subunit ribosomal RNA", at positions 105 to 334 of the family's 1533-position model. Lineage: Bacteria; Bacillati; Bacillota; Bacilli; Caryophanales; Staphylococcaceae. The record is from RNAcentral.
GGUGAGUAACACGUGGAUAACCUACCUAUAAGACUGGGAUAACUUCGGGAAACCGGAGCUAAUACCGGAUAAUAUUUUGAACCGCAUGGUUCAAAAGUGAAAGACGGUCUUGCUGUCACUUAUAGAUGGAUCCGCGCUGCAUUAGCUAGUUGGUAAGGUAACGGCUACCAAGGCAACGAUGCAUAGCCGACCUGAGAGGGUGAUCGGCCACACUGGAACUGAGACACGGUCCAG